AACGAACGCUGGCGGCAUGCCUAACACAUGCAAGUCGAACGAGACCUUCGGGUCUAGUGGCGCACGGGUGCGUAACGCGUGGGAACCUGCCCUUAGGGUCGGAAUAACUCCCCGAAAGGGGUGCUAAUACCGGAUAAUGUCUUCGGACCAAAGAUUUAUCGCCUUUGGAUGGGCCCGCGUUGGAUUAGCUAGUUGGUAUGGUAAAAGCCUACCAAGGCGACGAUCCAUAGCUGGUCUGAGAGGAUGAUCAGCCACACUGGGACUGAGACACGGCCCAGACUCCUACGGGAGGCAGCAGUGGGGAAUAUUGGACCAUGGGCGAAAGCCUGAUCCAGCAAUGCCGCGUGAGUGAUGAAGGCCUUAGGGUUGUAAAGCGCUUUUACCCGGGAUGAUAAUGACAGUACCGGGAGAAUAAGCCCCGGCUAACUCCGUG
RNAcentral lists this ribosomal RNA (433 nucleotides) under uncultured bacterium. RNAcentral describes it as "partial 16S ribosomal RNA". It matches the Rfam family "Bacterial small subunit ribosomal RNA", at positions 29 to 507 of the family's 1533-position model. The record is from RNAcentral.